Non-coding RNA from Acanthosepion pharaonis, 117 nucleotides. The record is from the annotation of a GenBank genome assembly. NCBI's taxonomy places the organism in Eukaryota, Metazoa, Mollusca, Cephalopoda, Sepiida, Sepiidae.
UUACGGUCAUAUCACGUUGAAAACACCAAUUCUCGCCCGGUCACCGAAGUUAAGCAACGUCGAACCUGGUCAGUACCUAGAUAAGUGACCAGUAUUGGAAAUACCAGGUGCUGUAAG